RNAcentral lists this ribosomal RNA (991 nucleotides) under Azospirillum canadense. Its description in RNAcentral is "bacterial SSU rRNA". It matches the Rfam family "Bacterial small subunit ribosomal RNA", at positions 1 to 1043 of the family's 1533-position model. The record is from RNAcentral. Lineage: Bacteria; Pseudomonadati; Pseudomonadota; Alphaproteobacteria; Rhodospirillales; Azospirillaceae.
CCAGUAGUUGAUUCUGGCUCAGAACGAACGCUGGCGCGUAGCAUAACACAUGCAAGUCGAACGAGGGCUUCGGCCCUAGUGGCGCACGGGUGACCAUAAUGUGGGAACCUGCCUCAUGGUUCGGGACCAUGUCUGGAAACGGACCGUAGUAGUGAAUAGUCCUUCGGGAGCGUGCUCGCCAUGAGAGGGGCCCGCGUCCGAUUAGCGUGUAGUUGGCGGGGUAACGGCCCACCAAGCCGACGAUCGGUAGCUGGUCUGAGAGGAUGAUCAGCCACACUGGGACUGAGACACGGCCCAGACUCCUACGGCAGUAGGCAGCAGUGGGGAAUAUUGGACAAUGGGGGCAACCCUCCAGCAAUGCCGCGUGAGCGAUGAAGGCCUUCGGGUUGUAAAGCUCUUUCGCACAGGACGAUGAUGACGGUAGCGUGAGAAGAAGCCCCGGCUAACUUCGUGCCAGCAGCCGUGGUAAUACGAAGGGGGCUAGCGUUGUUCGGAAUUACUGGGCGUAAAGGGCGCGUAGGCGGCCCGUUCACCCAGAAGUGAAAGCCCCGGGCUCAACCUGGGAAUGGCUUUUGAUACUGGCGGGCUUGAGUUCCGGAGCCGAUGGUGGAAUUCCCACGUGAUAGGUGAAAUUCGUAGAUAUUGGGAAGAACACCGGUGGCGAAGACGGCCAUCUGGACGGACACUGACGCUGAGGCGCGAAAGCGUGGGGAGCAAACAGGAUUAGAUACCCUGGUAGUCCACCUCGUAAACGAUGAAUGCUAGACGCUGGGGUGCAUGCACUUCGGUGUCGCCGCUAGCGCAUUAAGCAUUCCGCCUGGGGAGUACGGCCGCAAGGUUAAAACUCACAGUGAUGAUUGACGGGGGCCCGCACAAGCGCGUAAUGUGGUUUAAUUCGAAGCAACGCGCAGAACCUUACCAACCCUUGACAUGGCCGUCGUCGGCGGGAGAGAUCCUGCUUUCAGUUCGGCUGGGUACCGCACACGUGGCU